Molecule: unclassified non-coding RNA, 155 nt
Filed under: uncultured Ascomycota
Lineage: Eukaryota; Fungi; Ascomycota
Description: sequence contains ITS1
Source: RNAcentral
UCAAUUACGGGGGCUGGCUGCAGAAAUGUACGCUGCCCUGUCUGGACCCUUGUCUUUUGAGUACCAUUUGUUUCCUUGGCAGGCUCUUUGCCUGCCGAUAGGACAAUCUUAAACCUUUUGUAAUUGCAAUCAGCGUCAGUACAACUUAAUUGUUA